GCCUGGGUGGCUCAGUUGGUUAAGCGUCUGACUUUGGCUCAGGUCAUGAUCUCACAGUUUGUGGGUUCGAGCCCCGCACCUGGCU
Felis catus (domestic cat) is the source of this 85-nucleotide transfer RNA. It matches the Rfam family "tRNA". From Rfam's summary of the family: Transfer RNA (tRNA) molecules are approximately 80 nucleotides in length. Their secondary structure includes four short double-helical elements and three loops (D, anti-codon, and T loops). NCBI's taxonomy places the organism in Eukaryota, Metazoa, Chordata, Mammalia, Carnivora, Felidae. The record is from Rfam.